Molecule: long non-coding RNA, 1964 nt
Organism: Cyprinus carpio carpio
Lineage: Eukaryota; Metazoa; Chordata; Actinopteri; Cypriniformes; Cyprinidae
Source: Ensembl
UCAUAAACUAAUAUUUCUGUAGACUGUUUGAUGAUCAGUUUAAUACGUUCAUGAUAUGAAUGAUUCCACACAAAAGGCAGUGUCAUCCUCACAAAGGCUCUUUAUCUUGAAAAUCAGUUAUUCAUGAACAUCCUUUGACAAAAUACAUGAAUUUGAUAACCAUUACACUGGGAGUUUGUAAACAGUUAUUUGCAGAAAUUCUACACGGAGGAACAGAAAAGGAAAAAGAAUAGCCAGACAUCCAUAGAUCUUGGGGUUUAGUGUUUCAGUCUGUUUGGGGGAAAAAUACAUUUGAACAGAGUCUCCUAAAUGAAAGGGGAGGAACAGCAGUGUGGUGUAGGUUUUGUGUCAGCUGCUAUGCUAUAGGAACAGUGUCUGUGUGACACAGAGAUAUGGGUGAGUCUCAUCUUGUGAGUGUAUCCUCAUCAGUAAAUUCACAUCCUGAUCCCCUUCACAGAGCUUCUUCCUGCAACAACACGUAGUGCAAAUAUGAGCACAACUACAUGAUCAGGCACACCUUAGAAAGAGGCCUAGUAACAUUCUCAACAUUAUGUAUUGAGCUAAUUUUUAUUUUUAUUUUUUUGCAGCAGGGUUAAGCACAUUUUGAAAAAAGGCUUCAUCAUUAAUUUGUAUUAUUUAACCAUAACCAAAACCUGCCUUAAUUACUGCAUUUUCAAAAUCAUCAAGUACAUUUGACAUAAACAACACAGGGAAUGCUAUUUGUCUCGAUGAAAUGUAAAACAUAUACAAUGAUCCAUCGCCAACCUCUGAGCUCAGAUCUCUCCGGUGAGUCUCGCGCCCGCUCUCACGGCGGCGCACCGGUGAAGCUGCCGUGGUCAGAGCACGUAGAUGAUGUAGGACAGGAACACAAGGCCGAUGAUGGCGAAGAACAUCAACAGCAGCACAUCCAGCAUGAUGCUCGCAGAGCAGCGGGUCCAGGAGAUGCGCAGGAUGCUCGGUGUCCUCCUCCUCCCUUCUAGAAAGUGCAGCCGGCAGGAAAUGGGGCCAAGCGCUGGAAAUGGGAUUCUUCCACUUUUGUAGCGUGCACACUUGGCUUAUUCGGAGCAAACCUGGCUGUACUAUACGGAAAGAUGAAGGCAACUACAUAAUUAAAAAAGGUUCCAGCGGAUAAUGGACAAAGUCCUGGAAAACUACUAGUACCCUUUCAAUUUUUCUAUUGUACUCACUGAUCAACAAUCACAGGUACAAGCUUCUAAUGUGUAUCACAGUGUGUUCGGCUUGAUGCGGCGCUGCGCAGAUCGAUCGGUGUUUGACAUCAAAGCAACGCGACACCAACUAGAAAGCAUGCAGAUCCGUCUAGUUAUUAUUGAACAGCAAACAGCAGUUAACUUAAUUCACGCGAUGUGUGUACUAGGCAUCUUUGGUUUCAUCUUUUUGUGUAAUUUAGAUGGAAAAUGUGUGCCUUUUAAUUUUUUGAAUCACUUAUAAAAAGUUGCUAAAAGAUAACAAAUAAAUAAUAAAAAAAGCUAAAUAUGUUGCUAAGUGCUUUUGGAAGAAAAAGUUGCCAUGGUAAUCUGAAAAGUUGCUAAAUCUAUCAACAAAAUUGCUAAAUUAGCAACACUGAUAUUGUUAAAAUGUUAAGGCUUUUUGAGUUCCCAGCAUGCAUUGCAGCAAGAAUAAAUUAUACAGCUACUGUUUUAGGAUUAUUGUUUUGCUGUUUGCUGACUUCAUUUAAACUUUUUUGUUGUUAUUUUGUCAUUAUUGUUAGUGAUUUGUUGUACUGUGAUGUAAAGAGCUCAUCUUUCUAACAAUUGUUGAUUGCCACCCUUCUUGUGUGUCUAGUUUUAGGCCUAAAGUAUGUGUAACCAAUUGAAUCCAUUUUAUGGAUUAUUUUAGUCUUGUAAGAUAUUUUACGAAUGAAGACAGUUUUGUUUACUUAGACAUUCGCUCACUGUUUGUCAUUGGCUUAUAAAUAUAAAAUUGAUAAUGUGGUGACUUCUUUU